Suricata suricatta (meerkat) is the source of this 951-nucleotide long non-coding RNA. RefSeq lists it as uncharacterized. The transcript is spliced from 3 exons. The record is from RefSeq and is a predicted model, not a curated record. NCBI's taxonomy places the organism in Eukaryota, Metazoa, Chordata, Mammalia, Carnivora, Herpestidae.
CCAACGUCUGAGGCGCGCGGUGUCCCUGAACCACCAGCUGAGUCCUUUGGAGCCCAGCCCUCUCUCCUGCCUUCUCGGAGGCUCGCUCCUUCCCAGGGCGUUUGUGGCUCCCGCUUUCGUGUCCUCGGUGGGCACAGCACCCCCUGAAUCUCCGUGCCCAUGGCCGCCAGCCUGAGGAGGCCCUCUUUCAACUCCUGUUCUGCCUUGGCGUCAGAUACGGACGACGAGGGUGUGCGCGGCACUUGCUAAGAUGCUUAUGGAUGCGAGAGCCUAAGAAAACAGAAGCCCUGAGUGAAGAUCUGUUACAGGUGUUCAUGUUAGCAGGCUGUCUUAAGGCAAUGAAAUCUGAUGUACAGAAUGUCUUCUCGAUUGCUCCACGAAGAGGUAGAAGAGCCUAGAAAUUCAAUGCAGGAAAAGAUGCAACAAUUAGAACUCUCCAGGAUGAUAACAGAGGUUGUUUUUGUUGGACUGCUGCCACCUCAGAACUGGGAGGAAAACAACAUGAACACCCUGAUUCAGAGACGAAGCAGUUCAAGGAAGAGCAAGCCAUUUUCUAAAACUUAAUUCGGGAAAAAGAUCUCCAACUCAAAGCGAAGAAGUGACGAAUUGCUUCCUCUGAAUGAGAAUUUCACCUGUGAAGUGGGUGAGAAGGAACUUUGGAGGCAGGAAGUCACCAUGUGCUGUUUCCACUCUUCCAUUAUCUUAAUCUGUUGCUCUAAUUUGUCCUGUUCCUUUAGAAGCUAGUUGAACUGAUCGAUAUUAACACCAUGUCAAGAAAGCGUGGCAUUUCUGCCUUAAGGCAUCCACUUCAGUGUCUUUUUCUUGAAAAGCAUGUGUCAAAUUCUGAAUCAUUUCUCUAAACAUAUCCUGAUCACUCGUUUCAAUCCUAGUGAACAAUUUAUAUGUUCAUUUUGCAGCUUCGUGAAAUACACGCUUCUUUGGCAACAAUUA